Long non-coding RNA from Cebus imitator (Panamanian white-faced capuchin), 466 nucleotides. RefSeq lists it as uncharacterized. Lineage: Eukaryota; Metazoa; Chordata; Mammalia; Primates; Cebidae. The transcript has 3 exons. The record is from RefSeq and is a predicted model, not a curated record.
CACAAUCCUUCUGGAUACCUGGGCGCUCUCAGGCCCUUGGCAUCUGGCCCCUCCCCUCUAGGGUGAAUUGUUUUCAAAGAUUUAUAGUUCGUAUCCUAGACUGGGAAGAGAGAGGGACAAGGGAUACAGGAACUGGCAAAUUCCUCCCGCCUCAGUCGGCAAGAAAGGCUAUCCAGUGUCCCCAGCUUCGCUGGCCUUCAUGAAGCGGGCCCUGGUGCGCAGGCUCCGGAAGGGAGGGCGUGGGAAGGAGAGCCGACGCUGGAUAGCCGUGGGCCAGUGAGCAGGCGCUGGGCAUUUGCUGGGCUUCCACUCGUGCUAGUCUGCAACUGAGGCUCCGACACGAGAGAGUACCCAAGUUUGUGGCACAAGCGUGUACUGGGCACCUGCCCUGUGGCAGGCACCAUGAAGUUCCUGGGGUAGAGAGAAUCCAGUUUCUUAACUCUAUCACUCAGCUUGAAAUGCUGUG